CCUACGGGAGGCAGCAGUGAGGAAUAUUGGUCAAUGGACGAGAGUCUGAACCAGCCAAGUAGCGUGAAGGAUGACUGCCCUAUGGGUUGUAAACUUCUUUUAUAUGGGAAUAAAACGUUCCACGUGUGGGAUUUUGUAUGUACCAUAUGAAUAAGGAUCGGCUAACUCCGUGCCAGCAGCCGCGGUAAUACGGAGGAUCCGAGCGUUAUCCGGAGUUAUUGGGUUUAAAGGGAGCGUAGGUGGAUUGUUAAGUCAGUUGUGAAAGUUUGCGGCUCAACCGUAAAAUUGCAGUUGAAACUGGCAGUCUUGAGUACAGUAGAGGUGGGCGGAAUUCGUGGUGUAGCGGUGAAAUGCUUAGAUAUCACGAAGAACUCCGAUUGCGAAGGCAGUUCACUGGACUGCAACUGACACUGAGGCUCGAAAGUGUGGGUAUCAAACAGGAUUAGAUACCCCGGUAGUC
This 460-nucleotide ribosomal RNA is filed under the name uncultured bacterium. RNAcentral's name for it is "partial 16S ribosomal RNA". It matches the Rfam family "Bacterial small subunit ribosomal RNA", at positions 338 to 795 of the family's 1533-position model. The record is from RNAcentral.